AGUCGAGCGCGUGAAGCAACAUGAUCCCUUCGGGGUGAUUGUUGUGGAUCGAGCGGCGGACGGGUGAGUAACACGUGGAUAACCUACCUUCGAGAUCGGGAUAACCCCGGGAAACCGGGGCUAAUACCGAAUGAUCUGUUAGACCGCAUGGUCGAACAGCAAACGGCGGCCCUGCCGUCACUCGAAGAUGGAUCCGCGGCGCAUUAGCUAGUUGGUAAGGUAACGGCUUACCAAGGCGACNAUNCGUAGCCNACCUGAGAGGGUGAUCGGCCACACUGGGACUGAAACACGGCCCAAACUCCUACGGGAGGCAGCAGUAGGGAAUCUUCCGCAAUGGACGAAAGUCUGACGGAGCAACGCCGCGUGAACNAUGAAGGUCUUCGGAUCGUAAAGUUCUGUUGUUAGGGAAGAACAAGUGCCAGAGGAAAUGCUGGCACCUUGACGGUACCUAACCAGAAAGCCCCGGCUAAACUACNUGCCACAGCCGCGGUAAUACCUAAGGGGCAAGCGUUGUCCGGAAUU
RNAcentral lists this ribosomal RNA (522 nucleotides) under Bacillus sp. HPB-18. Its description in RNAcentral is "bacterial SSU rRNA". It matches the Rfam family "Bacterial small subunit ribosomal RNA", at positions 60 to 552 of the family's 1533-position model. The record is from RNAcentral. Lineage: Bacteria; Bacillati; Bacillota; Bacilli; Caryophanales; Bacillaceae.